Onychomys torridus (southern grasshopper mouse) is the source of this 366-nucleotide non-coding RNA. The record is from the annotation of a RefSeq genome assembly. NCBI's taxonomy places the organism in Eukaryota, Metazoa, Chordata, Mammalia, Rodentia, Cricetidae.
AUGGACAUGAGGGCCCCUGCUCAGCUCCUCGGGCUCCUGCUGCUCUGGUUACCAGGUGCCAGAUGUAACAUCCAGAUGACCCAGUCUCCCUCUUCCCUGUCUGCAUCUCUGAGUGACAGAGUAACCAUCACUUGUAGGGCAAAUCAUGAUAUUAAGAAGUAUUUAUGCUGGUUCCAGCAGAAACCAGGGAAAGCUCCUAAGCUCCUGAUCCACAGAGAAUCCAACUUGGCAGAUGGAGUCCCUACAAGGUUCAGUGGCAGUGGGUCUGGGACAAAUUAUUCUCUCACCAUCAGCAGCCUGGAGUCUGAAGAUAUUGUGACUUAUUACUGUCUACAGACUGAUAAGCUUCCUCCUACAGUGAUAUAA